CCAAAAUUUUCUAGUCUUAGUCAUAUGUACAAAUAUACACACGAAUGCUUAUGAAUAGGUCCUUACUACGAUUUCCUGUAUUCUCUGAACUGGCAAUAUUUACUAACAAGUGCUUCUCGGUAUGUGAGAAUGGAGCCAGAUCAAAAUUCAGCAGGUCUGAUUUGCUCAUCUGACGACCUAUGCCACAAGUCACAAACCAAGAGCCGCAGGUGUUAGGGUUACUUCAGAAAUCAUUUUCAUCCAAUUUACCUACUUCAUAUAUAGAAGCUGUGAUGUAGAGGUUUCAUAGCACUGUUUUAUAUAAGCUCUGAAAAAUAUCAGGUAUAUGUAACCAAGUCCUAUAUAUGAGACUGAUUUAAAAACACAACCAACUUGAACCUCACCUUCAUUUUUAGUAAAUGGCAAAAAUCUCCACUUCUAAAGUUGGGGGUACACCUACCCCUGCCAGCCCUGAUAAGUACUCUCCAUUUCCUCUACAAGUACCCAGCUUCUCCUGUUAUAGCAUGAUUAGCAUACACAUGCUGACGUGUUCCUGGAUUGCUUACUCUGGCAGAGUCACUCUAACUUCUGCUUUGCA
This 577-nucleotide long non-coding RNA is filed under the name Bos taurus (domestic cattle). Its description in RNAcentral is "long non-coding RNA NONBTAT021459". The record is from RNAcentral. Lineage: Eukaryota; Metazoa; Chordata; Mammalia; Artiodactyla; Bovidae.